RNAcentral lists this long non-coding RNA (601 nucleotides) under Mytilus galloprovincialis (Mediterranean mussel). The record is from RNAcentral. Lineage: Eukaryota; Metazoa; Mollusca; Bivalvia; Mytilida; Mytilidae.
GUUGCAGGUAUCCACCGCAUCCUAUAGUUAGUAGGUUAUUUUUAGAAUAAUGUUUCAAAUUAUUGUUUAGAUUGGGUAGAUUUUUUAUAAAGUGAGUAGCCCCCGAGAAAGCCAAAACAUAGAUACAUUUAUUGAUUAUAUUGUUACAUUUUUUAUAUGCUGUCAUGUAGUUUUUAGCAAUUAUAUAAUGGAAGUAGUAUAGCUUGUUUUUUAGUAGUCUAGAUAAUAAAUAUAUAUACCACUAUGCUAUAUUAUGAUGUUUGUUGUUUUGUCGUCUUAGAUAAUGCGAAGUUUAAAAGGGAUCGGAACUACUAUAGACAAUAGCUUUUACUGAUUGUCAUUUAGAGAACACGUGUGCUUAUACAGUCAUAUAGAUUUAACAUUUGGGUUGUCGUAAUUUGUCUUUGGUUAGUCGUUUUUUCAAGUCACUUAUACUAGAAAAGUAUGAUUGUAUAAAUCGGCGUUUUUAUUUUAUACUUAGUCAACUUAGCAAUAUUACGUUUAUAUGAUAACAUAAUGUAUUCGAAUACUUGUUGAAAAUUUGCAUGGAAUGGUACUGUACUGCUACUUUUUUAAACGUUUGAUAACAUUUACUACUUAC